ACCCGCCCGCGCCGCCCUCCUGGGGUGCCUCUCAGGGACCCAGGCGCUCAGCUGCUGGGGCCGCGGAGGGCGUUCGCGGGGCGCCGGGGAAGGCUAGGGCCGCGGGGUCCCCGGGGCGCCGUCCCCAACCGCCGACGCCUGCCAGACCACCAAGUGGGGGCCAUGUCGACGUGUGAGGAGCCUGGUGGAAGGUGAUACUGGAAUUCCGGCACUGGGCCUGCAACCCUUUUAGUCCACAGUUGUCAGAAUCUAAAGGGAAGAAAAACGAAGUGCUCAGAACCCUCACAGAAGCCGGGCACCUCAUCCCGUGUGUGGGUUUUUUCCCCAGUACAAACCCAUUGUGGGGACAGGCGCUUUUGAAGAAAAAAUUCAGAUUCCCGGGCUGAAGUGGCUCCUCACAGCCUUGAACCUGACCCCCAGCUUCCCGCUAAAGCCGAGCGUGCCCAGCACGGCGAGGUCAGCAGAGGCCCCUCGGAGGGCGGCCGGGGGAGGUCAGUGGGAGGCCCUCGGGCAGCCGGUGGAUGGGCCGGCGACCUCCCCGACUCCAUCAGAAGCGCUCAGUCUGUGCCCUUCAGUUACUGGAGCAGCUCCCGUCCUUUGGCCAGUUCUCUGGAAGGUCGUUUCCGUUUCUGUGUCUGCCACACGUGCAGCACAAUCGAAAAACCUUGUUCGACAUUUCUAGAAAGAGUAGAUGCUACUGAAGACCCAAUAGAUUGCUGAGGGUUUUCAGAGCAGGGACAAUUGCAUCAGGGUGCUGGGCUCCGGGAAGAACUCAGAGGACUUGGCUGACGGGCGGAUGGGACAGUGAUUGGUGCCGAGAAUGGGCCAGAGAAGCAGGUCUGCCUGGAGCAGGCACCCGAGGCCGCGUGCAGGGGCGGUCCUGGGCCACCAACCCCUGGAAGCUGGGCCAGGAGCUUCGGAGCCAUCCGAGGCUUUUUUCGCUCCUCUCACUCUCAUGCACCUAGUUACCCUCCCCACAGAGUCUUCUCACGGCGCGGUUUUCGGCUACCAUUGCAGUGGUGUCUGACUACACCCAGUGCCUCUAUCGUUCCCCCCUCAGUCUGUUCUCGCUUCUUGGCAAACCUGUCCUUGGAAAGCCCUCUGCUGACUCCUGUUACCCUGAUCAAAUGCAUCCUCCUCAGGAGGCUCGUGAGCCCUUUGCAGGGUGGCCCAAGAGGCAUCACGCCCUGCUCUCCAGCCACUCUUGGGGUCCCCUACAGGGCCAGGCGUCCCACACCAGCAGCGGGUGCUGGUCCUGCCACAGUCUGUGCGACACGUGAAUGAAGGCUGUAGACCUGUGGUCUGCGGGAGGCAAAUUCCAACUCCAGCUGUCAAACAUAAGGGGACUGGUAGGCUCUCCAGGGUGGAUUGUCUCACGGCAUCCAGAGGCAGGGACCGAGGCAGGGACCUAGCCAGGCCUCGGGAAGGAGCUGCAAACCCAGGAGCUCUGGGGUGUGGCUUCAUCUCCCUCCCUCCCUACCACCCUACCCCCAUCUCUCCGUGUUCUUCAGAUGCCUCAUUUUCCUGUCAGGCACCUGGCCAGCUCUAGGAGCUGGAAUCAGGUUGGUGCCUCCUUGGUCAGUGUCCACCCCUAGUGUCAUCCACAGUGACCAACGGAAGGGGUGGCCGGUGGUACAGGACAUUGGCCAUCUUGGGAAAGAUCACAGAGACAGGAAGGGCCUCUCCAGCUGAGCAGAUGAGAGGUUCUUCAGUGGUCUGGACACAUUUGCCCACUCAUGGCCGUCCCCCUGCCCUGUUGAGAGAACCGAUGAGGAAAGGGAGCCCUGCAUCUGUCGCCUUCCGACUCCGACCGCCUGAGGCUGGGCUGCCGGCAAGCCGCGGCAGCAUAUGACAGCACUUGAAAGAAAGUCCCUGGAAAGAAUGUGGAUCAUUGCAGAACUCCCUCAAGAAAGCGCCAGAGGAGGACCCCAUUCAGCACCCCGCAGAACUCCUCAAACUCCUGCGUCCACACUCCCCCAGCGUGGUGGCUGCUUCUAUCUCCCCAGGCUUAGCUGGCCUGGGUCUUGAAGGCCUCUCCUCCUGCUGUCCCCACGCAGCAUCCUCUCUGCCACUGCACAGCUGGAUGCAGUGAAGGCCAGGCGGCUGUGGCUGCUUGGGCAACAGGAGCUGCUUGACCCUGUUCUGCUGGCCUUGUUGGCCUCACUCCCGUAGAGAGCCAAGGUUACCCACGUCUCUGAAGCUAAGGCUUUCUUUCUAGGCCUGGGGGAGUCACAUCUUGCAUUCGUACUCACUGAGCUCCACGUCUAUGGUUAGAGAAUUUAUCAACAUUUUAUAAUGCUUUUAUCAAUUCCAUCAUUUGAGGGCCCUCUGGCAAGGAACCUGUUAGUACAUGGAGUGCCUGGAAUGUUCCAGAAAGCUAACAUGAACAGCUGGCCCUUGCUGUCCUUAUACAUUGAGGACUCCAAAGGCCACUCAGGAUGACAGGAAAUGCAGGCUCCAAAAGAUUCGGUUCCUUUGUGAGGCCCUCGGGCAGUGGUCAGACACGAAGGAAAUAGGAAAUCACCCCCAAACCACACCUCUCCCUAUGAGGCCACAGCUGCCGAUGCAGCCUUGGGAGGGGGAUGGAGGGAGAGAGGAGGGCAUCUGAAUGUGGACACACCCUGCUGUGAGGGCUGUGGGCGGUCCUGAGACUGGAGCCAGCCCCCAGGCUCAGCUCAGCUCGGGGACCUCGUGCCCGGGCUUUCCUGGGGAGGAAGGUGUUGGAUCUCCUGCCUCUCUGUAUUCAUUCACACUUUGGGUUUCUCUCUCUUCCGCGCAUUCUAACAUCUGCAGGAUUUUUUUUUUUUUUUUUUUUUUUUUGAGACAGAGUCUCGCUCUGUUGCCCAGGCUGGAGUGGAGUGGUGCGAUCUCAGCUCGCUGCAAGCUCCGCCUCCUGGGUUCACGCCAUUCUCGUGCCUCAGCCUCCAGAGUAACUGGGACCACAGGCGCCCGCCACGACGCCCAGCUAAUUUUUUGUAUUUUUAGUAGAGACGGGGUUUCACCGUGUUAGCCAGGAUGGUCUCGAUCUCCUGACCUUGUGAUCCGCCCGCCUCGGCCUCCCAAAGUGCUGGGAUUACAGGCGUGAGCCACCGGGCCUGGCACAUCUGCAGGAUUUAUGGAUGAAGGGCCACAAACCCACAUUUGGUCUCAUUCAACAGAUGUUGUGUCGGCAGGGCGAGGUGGGACUCUGUCUCUGCCCACGCUACCUGCCCCUGGGGUUGUAGUUCUAGGAAAGCAAGUCUCAGACUGAGUUUUGAUCUGGAUUAAAUUCUGUCCCAGGUGCAGAUAUUUAUAGGAAAGCAGGGACAAGAGCCCUCAGGCAAAGCUGGGUAUCCUGCGAUGGGUGCCUCUGGGAGUUCGCAGAUAACAAGGCCUUUUCCUGGAGGCAAAGCAGAAGCGUUCUGUGGCAGACCAGUCAGCUUUCUAGCAGGUCAGGGGCAGGGACAUCUAGGCCCAAGGUGUCACACCGUGCCUGGCUGCUGGCUCUCCUCUUGCAAGGACACAGCUCUUACAGGACUUCCUAGCCCACCCAAGAACAUCUUUCCAUCAUCGAAAAGUUAUUGAUAAGAUUUUUCCAUCACUGAAAAGUUAUUGAUAAGUGCCACCAUGUGCAUGAGCAGCCCUCCAGGUGCUGGCUUGUGGGCCGGUGUUUGAGAAUCUUGCCAGUUGAAUGUGGGCAUCUUGAGAGAGCAAGUACACGGUUUUGACCUUUGACUUGGGGUUUAUAUCUUGGCAUGCUUCUGGGGGCUGCGUCCCUUCUCCCCUGAUUCUUCCCUUGGGGUGGGCUGUCCGCAUGCGCAGUGGCCUGCCGACACUUGGGAGGGCCGCGUGCACAGUGUGCUUACUGGAGUUGUGCGGUGCCCUCUUGAGGCAGUCUUCCCUUACCAGUUCCUAGGGGAAGGUCACACGCUGGUUAAACUUUGCCACUUUGCCUCGUAGUGUGCAUGCUUGACCUCACUCACCAACUCCUGAGAUUUUUUUUAAAUUUUUUAAUUUAAGUUCUAGGGUACAUGUACACAACGUGCAGGUUUGUUACAUAGGUAUGCAUGUGCCAUGUUGGUUUGCUGCAUCCAUUAACUCGUCAUUUACAUUAGGUAUUUCUCCUAAUGCUAUCCUUCCCACCCCACGACAGGCCCUGGUGUGUGAUGUUGCCCGCACUGUGUCCAAGUGUUCUCAUUGUUCAAUUCCCACCUGUGCCAACUCCUGGGAUCUUAUCGGGAAGUGGCUCAUCAUCAGCUUUAGGUGUUUUCUAUCUAUUGGGAGCCUGCCUUUCUCUGGCACCAGCUGCAACCAAUAAUUAUUUUAGACAGUUUAACAACAGCUUGACCAUCACCUGAUGAUCACCUGACAUUUCUGUUGGGGCGCGGGCCCAUCUCCUGCCCCGCUCAUGUGGGGCUCAGUCUGCCCAACCUUUCCCCAAGGGCCUGUCUUUACUUCAUUUGUGGUAAGCCCCAAGCAGAAUGGACUCUUGUUAUGAUCCCAGGAACUGCUCACGGCCACCUCUGUGGAUGAACACCUAGCGGCUGCUCUAAAUACAUGCUGUGAAAGUUGUCAGAAUCAAAAUGGAGUCACUAAUGUUAAGAAAGCCCUGACAAAGAGUUGGUGGGGAAGGCCACGAAGAGAGGACACUUAUGCUUGCAUGCCUGAUACCAGAAAGGACUACAAAAACCACAGCCCGGCACAGAGGCCAUCACACCCUUACACAAAAAAUAUUUCUGCAAGGACAACUGCCCAGCAAUUGCCUGUCCAACCUCAGACUGGAAUGACCUUUGUUAUUGAUGUUUGUAGCCAAGGAGAAUUAUCUCAAAACCACUGUGAUCCUGCUCGCUUUUCCUUUAAAGACCUUUGUCUUCCUUGACCUCCCUGAAUAGGCAUAUGGUUUACUAUGGCGUGUGUACUCUCCUUGUAAUGUUCUGUUCUCAAGCUAACAUCUAUUCUUCUAGAGAACCUCUCUCUUAGGCUGACAACGCUGUGGAUCUGGGCUCCCAGGAACUGGGGCUGACAUCAGAGGGGUGGAAAGAGAACAGCAGCUCUCCCUGAGGGGAUGCUUGCCAAGGAUAAGGAGACGAUGGUUCUCUAAGGAUUAUUUUAUAUUCAUCUAAAAGGGUAUUUUUGUUGUUACCCCUAGCCUUUUUUCCCUUUUAAUUUUCUGAUGAAUAAUUUAUAUAAAGAAAACCCAUUCUAAGUGUGCAAUUCUAUGAGUUUUGACAAAUGUCUUCACCCAUGCAAAUCCUGUUACAACGGAGAUAUAGAACAUUUCCAUUACUUAAAAACAGCCAGGUGCUGUAGCUCAUGCCUGUAAUCCCAGCACUUUGGGAGGUCAAGGCGAGAGGAUUACUUGAGCCCAGGAGUUCAAGACCAGCCUGGGCAACAUAGUGAUGCCCCAUCUCUACAAAAAUAGAAGAAAUUAGCUGGGCAUGGUGGUACAUGCCUGUGAUCCCAGCUACUUGGGAGGCUGAGGUAAGAGGAUUGCUUGAGCCUGGGAGGUGGAGGCUGCAGUAAGCCACAAUCUCACCACUGCACUCCAGCCUGGGUGACAGUCAGACCCUGACUCCAAACAAAAACCAAAACUUCCUUCUUGCCCCUUUGCAGCCAGACUGUUUUCUGUCAUUGUGGAUGCAUCUGUUCUAGAAAUUUACAUGGAUGGAAUCACUCAGUCUUUUGUAUCUGGCUUCUUUUACUUGGCACAGUGUUUGUGAAACUCAUCAUUGUUCCACAUAACAGUAGUUCCUUUUAAUUGCCAAGUGGCAUUCCUUGGUGUGAAUGCACCACAGCUGGGCUAGCCACCCAGAUGCUGAUGGGCAGUCGAUAGGCGGUAGGAUGUCCCCAUUUUCAGUCACUAUGAAUUGGUCUGCUGUAAGCACUAGAGUAGAAAUUUUUUUUUAGAGACAGGGUCUCGCACCGUCAUCCAGGCUGGAGGGCAGUGGCUCAUAGCUCACUGCAGCCUCAAACUCCUGAGCUCGGGCAAUCCUCCCACCUCAGCCUCCCAAGUAACUGAAACUACAGGCACACACCACUACACUUGGCUAAUUUUUAAACUUUUUGUAGAGACGGGGUCUUGCUGUGUUGCCCAGGCUGGUCUUGAACUCCUGGGCACAAGCAAUCCUCCCACCUCUCAAGUAGCUGUAAUAGGUGUAAGCCACUGCCCAGCACCAUUUAUUGAAGAAUCUGUCCUUUCCACAGUGAGUGUGCUUAGCACCUUUGUUGGAAAUCAGUCGGCUGUAGAAAGCGGAUUAAUUUCUGGGCCCUCUGUUCUGUUCCAUUGGUCUGUGUGUCUGUUUUUAUGCCAGUUCCAUGCUGUUUUGGUUACUGUAGCUUUGUAGUGUAUUUUGAGUCUGGGAGUGUGAUGCCUCCAGCUUUGUUCUUUUUGUUCAGGAUGGCUUUGGCUGUUUGGGGUCUUUUGUGGUUCCAUACAAAUUUUAAUAUUAUUUCUUUUUCUAAAAAGAAU
RNAcentral lists this long non-coding RNA (6448 nucleotides) under Homo sapiens (human). Its description in RNAcentral is "non-protein coding lnc-SLC6A18-2:4". The record is from RNAcentral. Lineage: Eukaryota; Metazoa; Chordata; Mammalia; Primates; Hominidae.